GAGUGGAGGCCAGGCUAAGGGUCACAGGCCAUGGGCAUACAGCAAACUACAGUGUGAGGCUAAGUCAAUGAGGGCUGCUGGUGCUGGUGCUCCCACUAUGAGUUCCUCAGUCCAAACUGGCUAUGAGUAGGAGCAGCUCACAAAAGGCACUGCCGUUGAGGCCUUUCAGACCCAACUUGCUCUUGACAAGGGCACUACUGCUCUUGAGUUGUUUGAAGCAGACUUGGUACUUGUGCAGCCUCUCCUCUUGGCUGGUGUCCACACCUACAGAGGGCGGGACUGCCAAAAUGCCAGUGAUAGGGCCAGAAACGGCUGCAGAAUCAGUUUCAGGGAGGUGCACCCAGUCUGGACAUACGCUCAUACUUAAUCUGUAGAAGUUUCUCCAUCUGUGGAAGCAAGGCGGUGCACAGGUUCAGCUUCCACAGGGAAGCUUUCUUUUGACAAUGUACAGGAGAUCCACCACCACAGAUGGGUCAUUGAUGGCUACUGGAGUCCACUGAUGUCCUCUGAUAUCUUUUUUUUGUUGUUGUUCUUUUUUUCGGAGCUGGGGACCGAACCCAGGACCUUGCGCUUCCUAGGCACACAGAGAACUGGUUUCACGGUCGCUGUUCUCAGUGCUGGUUGCUGCACGCCAGAUCUCCUCUGCGGGCUGAGCAGACGGCUCGGCAGUUACCUGCACAAACUGCUCUUGCAGAGGACCCGAGGACUUUGAAAAGGACUCAGUUGGACUGUUCUGAUGGUCUCUUCACUUUAAGACAGGGUGUCAAGUCACACCCAGAAAUUACUGAUACAGUCCUCUUAGCCCGCUUGCACUAGGGAUCCCUGUCUGCAACUUCCUGGCUGAAAUGACAGGUGCUGACUGGAUUGGACGUCUGAUGCCGUGGUUAGUGUCUUUCAUGCUCACGGGUAACAGACUCUGAACCCGCUCCUUCCUGCUGAGCAGUUCUGAUGCUGGGCAGUCUGGUGGGAAGGAACACAAAGCAGAUGCUUAGCCAAUCAGGACGCUGCACUCAUUUGCCCACAGUAAGGAGUGGGCUGGAGGUGAGUGUGUGAUCUAAACAGGGCCAAGCAGAAUCCUUCCUUGGAUCUUCUAUGCAGAAGCAGGUCUGAGGAGCUCGGGAGGUGGUGGUAACUCAACCAGCUUCAACACCUGCUGUGAGAACUGGGAAACCCUGGUCUUAGUCAUCGUUCUCUUGCUGGAUAGAGACACCAUGACCACACUAACUCUUAUAAAAGAACUAAUUGGGAUUGGCUUAUAGUUUCAGAGGGUUGGUCCAUUUUCAUCAUGGUGGGGAGCAUGGCUAUACACAGGUAGACGCGCUGUGGGAGAAGGAGCUGAGAAUUCUACAUUGGGAUCUACGGGCAGCAGGUUAAGGGAGAGACACUGGGCCUGGCUUCGCCUUUCGAAAAUCUCAAAUCCAGUGAUACACUUUCUCCACCAAGGCCACAACCCCUGAUCCUUUCAAAUAGUGUCACUACUCCCUGGUGACCAAGCAUUCAAAUCUAUGAGCCUAUGGGGGCUCAUCCUUAUUCAAACCACCAAAACCCCCUUCACCAGGAGGAAGGGAAAAGACCUCAGGCGGCUCAGUUGGCAAAGGCUGACUGACUUUUACAACAGCCCUAGCUGGUGUUAUUUCCCUCAGCUCUCCCUUUUAAUAAGAAGGCACUAAGAAAAACCUGAGAAGCCACUGACGGCUUGCUGCCAGCCGGCAGAGAAAGGGUUAAGCCGAGGCAGUAGUCUCUAGAAGCCUUGUCAUAACGUUAUAUUACCCUUCCACAGAUGGCACAGUCAUGGAGGCUCCAACAGCCUCUCGAUGGUACCCUUCACCUGUCAGGUGAACGACCACCACCGUUUUGAGCCAUGACUGCUCUCUGGGGUGAGCAUUUUGCCGGAGGGUUAAAGAGUGGGUGUGUUCUCAGCUCACAGAUGAACACUGGCAAAGCCCACCUGAUGGCCACAGUAUACAUCGUGCUGAAGGUGGGCAGGCUCUUUCAGAAGCCUGAGGCUUCAGACCCAAGAGGCCUGGCAGAAAAAUGCCUCGGCUCUGGAGGGCAUGUGGGAAUAGCACGCCUCAGGGGAUGGUGGGCAGCACUUUUUCCAUUAAGUUGUCUCUCCUCCUUUAAUUACCUUCCUCUGGGAGGCUGGAAAGGUCAGGCAGCAGGGACUGCAUCCCCCUCGCACACCCCCUACCCCAGCACAGGACCUCAGCUCAGGCUUCUCGGCUCGGAGAUGAAAUUUAUCUUUCUUCCUCUUCUCAGAGAAGGAUGAGCUCACUAGUGACAAGAGUGGCCUUCUUUCCUUCCUUUUCCCCAAAUACUGAGAGAAGUGGGAGGCCAGCCUGCAAAUGUCACAGAAGCCUAUAAAAUGCUGAGCUCAGACGGAUGCCAGGCAUAGCUGGGGUUGCUGGGCUGAUGAGAUGGGCGACUCCAUCAUCUGCUAAGAAUCCAUUGUUCUGCAGCGGCUUGGACACAAUGGUACACUGUAGCUGUCUUCAGACGCACCAGAAGAAGGCAUCAGAUCUCAUUACAGAUAGUUGUGAGCCACCAUGUGGUUGCUGGGAUUUGAACUCAGGACCUCUGGAAGAGCAGUCAGUGCUCUUAACCAUUGAGCCAUCUCUCCAGCUCCGGGAGUGGUACUAUUAGGCGUGGCCUUAUUUGAAGAGGUGUGGCUUCAUUGGAAGAAGUGUGCUUCUGUGUGUGGGGUUUGAGGUCUCCUAUGCCCAGGUUCUGUGCAGCAUGUAAGAGAUCUUUCUCCUGGCUGCCUUUGGAUCAAGAUGUGGAACUCUCAGCUCUUCCUGCAGCACCAUGACUGCCUGGAUGCUGCCACACUUUCCACCAUGGUGAUACUGGACUAAACCUCUGAACUGUAAGCCAGCCCCAAUUAAAUGUUUGCCUUUAUAAGAGUUGCCUUGGUCAUGGUGUCUCUUCACAGCAACGAAACCCUAAGACAGGAUCCAUGGCCAGUUAAGGGAGAGACUGGAUUCGAUGUC
Non-coding RNA from Rattus norvegicus (Norway rat), 2990 nucleotides. The record is from RefSeq and is a predicted model, not a curated record. Lineage: Eukaryota; Metazoa; Chordata; Mammalia; Rodentia; Muridae.